GUAUGUGAGUGUUAAGUUGUUACGUUGAUUACUUUUCAAGUAUUGAUCAUCAAUCUCAAAAGGUUUACUCAACAAUUUAACUUGAAAUAAUCAACUUACCGGUUCACCAGGAGAUCCUAUUAGAUAUUAUCAAAGGUAAUCCAGUUAAACCAGGAGGACCAGGGGGACCCGGUGGACCAGCAUUACCAGGUUCACCCUUUGGAUGAUUAAGAAACAAUUAACAGUUAAUUAAACCCAAUUAAGAGUACGAAAAAAAAAUCAAUCAAAAUUAUUGCAAAUUGUAAAUAAUUAAGUAAACAAAUUACAAUCAAGGAAGGAAAAAA
Molecule: long non-coding RNA, 323 nt
Organism: Panonychus citri (citrus red mite)
Lineage: Eukaryota; Metazoa; Arthropoda; Arachnida; Trombidiformes; Tetranychidae
Exons: 2
Source: RefSeq, a predicted model, not a curated record